UAACUGCGCACUUGUAUGCCAACAUGGAUAACAUAAAACAGUUUGCAGUUAAAAGAAUAUUUACCCAGAAAGGAUAAUAAUAAUGAUGAUGAUCCAGAAUGAAGGAAACAUUGGUGCACAUAGAAUAGCUGGAUCAGUAUAAAAGGACAGUUGUAUGACUUGUUAAAACAUAUUAAGCACGAGUAUUCGUUUACGACUGUUUGUUUACACAAUGCUUAAGAAAGCUUAAUAUGUCUUAAUAUUGAAAAAAAUCAUCAAUAGAAACGACUGCUGAACGAUGUAUUAAACAUUAAAUACGAAUAUCUGCUUAAGUUUUUAAAUUCACACGGCCAGUGCUUGUUUAUGUACACAUUGAAUCCUUAGAGUCUCCGGAUUUAGUUUGCAAAUCCGGAAUUUUCGCAAACUCAGCUACCUUUUGCCUUUGACUUUUCUCUGAUUUUUUGACAUUAAACGAUAGUUCUAAUCCCAUAGAGUAAUAAUUGGUCGUUUUCUUCUUUAUAUGUUAAAGAAUGAAUUCAUGGGAGGUUUUCAAAGUGGGUCCUCCCAUGGGAGUAUUUUUUCCUCCCAUGGGAUUUUUGCUAACCCAUGGGAGGUCCCACGGGUGGAUUUCUCCCACUUAACCAGUUACGGGAGAAAAAAACCGUGGUUUUUUUCUAAAAUUUUCAAAUCAAAAUAUUUUAACUCAAAUUAAUAAUUUAUACAAUAAAAAACUGUUGUGACAUGA
Molecule: long non-coding RNA, 724 nt
Organism: Mercenaria mercenaria
Lineage: Eukaryota; Metazoa; Mollusca; Bivalvia; Venerida; Veneridae
Exons: 2
Source: RefSeq, a predicted model, not a curated record